GCCGGAGUGGUGAAAUUGGUAGACACGCCAUCUUGAGGGGGUGGUGGGCCUAGCCCGUGCUGGUUCGAAUCCAGUCUCCGGCACCA
This 86-nucleotide transfer RNA is filed under the name Zetaproteobacteria bacterium. RNAcentral's name for it is "tRNA-Leu". It matches the Rfam family "tRNA". Rfam says of the family: Transfer RNA (tRNA) molecules are approximately 80 nucleotides in length. Their secondary structure includes four short double-helical elements and three loops (D, anti-codon, and T loops). Further hydrogen bonds mediate the characteristic L-shaped molecular structure. tRNAs have two regions of fundamental functional importance: the anti-codon, which is responsible for specific mRNA codon recognition, and the 3' end, to which the tRNAs corresponding amino acid is attached (by aminoacyl-tRNA synthetases). tRNAs cope with the degeneracy of the genetic code in two manners: having more than one tRNA (with a specific anti-codon) for a particular amino acid; and 'wobble' base-pairing, i.e. permitting non-standard base-pairing at the 3rd anti-codon position. The record is from RNAcentral. Lineage: Bacteria; Pseudomonadati; Pseudomonadota; Candidatius Mariprofundia.